This 5457-nucleotide long non-coding RNA is filed under the name Olea europaea subsp. europaea. Lineage: Eukaryota; Viridiplantae; Streptophyta; Magnoliopsida; Lamiales; Oleaceae. The record is from RNAcentral.
CAAAUAAUACUGACGUGGCAUGCUGAAAAAAAAUAACAAAAAUAAUCAAUUUGAAAUCGUAUUUCCAUUUCCCCAAAUCCAGAGUCUUCCAUUUCCCCAAUUCACGCAAGAAAUAUCUUCCCCAAACCAAUCUUCCUGUACUCCCGGUUAUCGUCAUCGUCAAUGUAAGCACCCCCUUCAUCGUCGACGCCAACAAUUGCUGCCUGUGAACAGAAAAUCCAAUGCCGCUGAACUCGCCUCCCUCUCCUACCACACUCCAUCAGGUUGAGAAUGUAAAUAGUUGUGUUCGUAUUUUAGCUACAUUUUUCUAUGUCUUCUUCUAAAAUGUUGAAUUUUUCAGCGGUCAUCAUCUUCUAAAGUUUUGUUUCUGGAUUUACCUUUACUUAUUUUGUAUUCUUCUAAAUUCCUUGUCACCAAUGUUGAAUGAUAUGAUGUGCAUAAUAUGAUUUUGUUAGGUAGAGUGUUGAAUUUUUUAGGAGUCGCCGUCUUCUGAAGUUUUGUUUCUGGAUUUAGGUUUUUUUUUUUUUUUUUUUUUUUUUUUGUAUUCUUUUGAAUUUAAUGUCCCCAUUGUUGAAUGAUAUGGUCUGAAUAAUAUGAUUUAUGGUUACAAAUUUGCACACAGAAUCAAUUCAUUUGUUAACGAGCUUAGGUUGUUGCUAAGGUUUUUCACAUGGAUAAUGAGGUUUAGGUUGUUGAUGUGGAAUUUUGCAACUGAGAUGAAUUCAUCUUUGUUUAUUUGUUUGUCCAGCCCGAAUCGACUGCAAUGAGAGGAAGGAAUUCAAAAGUUUGUCACGGUUGCAAAAGCAACACUCAUUACUUUACAAUGCAAAACAAAGAGCCAAUGCCCUUCGUGUAAACAUGGAUAUCGCAAGUGUUUUGAGGUUGAACGGGAUACUAGUAACAAAGGGCAAUUGUUCUUUACCUGUUGUAAUGAUUGUGGAUAUUUUAACUGGGUGAAAGAAGAAGCGGUGAAUUAUGAGUCCAACGUGGAAGAUUAAGAUUUGCCAAGACUCUUUGACGGUCUAGCUCGAAUUAGGGAGAAACGAGGUGUGGACAUAUCAAUGCACUUGAGCUUCAGCAAGGAAAAGGGCAUUGCGAAGUGCGAUGGGAAAGAAAAGGGUUUGACUUGAACGGUUUAUUUGAUGUAUGGGUAAUCUUAUCAAAAUUGGUCAUUGUACGAACGACUGUGUAUUGGAUUCGUCCUAAUAUAUGUCAUGGUUGCUAGAACCUUUACGAUAUACUUGUUCUCAUUUUUAUUUGUAAACAUCCCGGCUGAAUCGUUUAACAAGAAAGGCUUGUGAUUAAAGUCUUCUAAUGUUAUUAUGCAGUCUUCAAUGUUUGUUGUAUAUUGUGUCACUGGUUUAUAUUGUACAUCCACUCAGUUUCAGCAAUCUAGCCCGUUAUCCAUUUGUUGUUGCAUUCAGGUCUUUCUAGUUACAGUAAAUAUAUAGAAUAUAAGGCAUUUAUCUCAAUCUUUAUGCUAACAAUCCAUAGUCUAAUGUGUCCCCUUCAUUGCAAAGUUCGACAAAGUCAUAAGCCACACAUAACAAUUUUUUUUCGAUAACGGCAAAUGGAUUGGAAAACUAAAAAGACAUUGCUUUUCCAACCUACCAAAGAAAGGGAAAGCAGCAAGGAUAGGAAUUGACUGCAGAAUGUGUUAUACGACAACUUGAUGACAAUAAGAUGAUUCCCUCAAGUUCCAUACAAAAAUACAAUCUUCAAAACAAUUACAAAUUGACUGCAAAAUAUGUAAAAAGUUUAACCGCUGUCGGCUUGACAAUUGAACUAGCAAAAACCAAUACUUUCAACAGCAUGGAAUUUUCUAAAAGUCCAAGUGAGUCAUCACUAGAUUUUUAACAAUAUAUUUAUAUGCAGAGGGCCUGAUUUACAUGGGAAAAAUGGAAUGAUGAAUGACAAAUAUAAAAGGGAGAUGAUGAAGCAACUUCAGAUAACAGAUCUGUGUUUUGAACUAGAGCUACUUUCUCUAGACUAGAGUUGGGGCUUGAACUGGACAGUAAUAUAAGAAUGCAUCACAGCCUAUAAGUUUACAAGAUAAACGAAAAAAUUAUUAUCAAAAAGAUAAUUGAGUACAAAUACAGAAACAUAGAUUUCACGAAUAGACUCAAUCAAUCAUUAAUUCAAUGACAAGAAAUAUAUAAUAGAAAUUUAUUCAAAAGAGAAGAAGAUUCCAUAGGCCAGCUGUAAUAAGGACAAAUAUUGUUGAGUGAAUAAUGGGAUAUACAAAUCUGACAAAAUAUUAAUAGUGUAAACAUGUUGGAAAUGGAUAUCCUUCGAAAAAUUAAAUUUAACUUCCAACAAGGGCAUACACCUUAUUUGUUACCAAAUAAUGAUAAGGGCAGAAACUAUUAUAUAUUAGUGAUUUAAUGACUAAUUGAUGCUUCAUAAACUAGAAACAUAGAUUUGGUAAAAAUUUAAACCAUCCGAGGACAAAUGAAACAUUCCUUCAAUCAAAGAGUCACAAGCGUGUGUGACCUUCAUUGGGCAAAUGUUGAUAGUAGUAUGGCAUGACAUGAUCUAAGUGAAAAGAUAGCAGCUACAAUGUCGCAAUAAAUGAAAUGAUCAUACAUAAAUACCUACAAUACCUGACCAAUGUAUUACCUCCAGUAUUGACUAUAAUAUUUGUUGGUGGCAAGGUUUGACUGACAUUGUAAGCCUACAUGAGAAAACACAAUUUUUAGCAACUUCAACCAAGUAGCCGCACUAAUACAAUGUACUCACCAAUGGGUGCUGUGAAUAUGAAAAUGGCGAGGGCACAAAACACUGUGAUGUUUGAGAUGCAUGGACAAUUGUUGCUCCCUCUUGUGUACAACGAGGCCUAGCUCACGAUAUUUUUCCCUUAUUUGAUGCUGAAGUGGUCUACAAGUUCAUCAUUAAAAAUAAUCAUUUUGUGGCCUAUAAUUCGCAAUAUAUUAAGAGGAUAACUAUGAAAAAUAUCUUCUCCAAUGGGCCUUUCCGCCGACGUUUCGUUGGCGCACCCUUUCGGCCAGACAAUACAGGGUCUAAUAUGCUGGCACUACUAGUAUUUUGUGAAUUGUUACAAGUUGAGGGCAAGUUCGCAUUAUUUAGCGGACGGCUAGUGCUUCCAAUAUUCGAUAUCGACAUCCGCAAAUAUGAUGUUUGAGAUUUUAUCUAAUCCAUUACAUUACAUGUUAACCCAUUGUCGUUUGUCACGAGGUCUGCGACCUCUGAAAAGCUCGAACACAUGUCAUCAUAUCUCAUCUGCUGGGGGUACUCACCAGUCCGUCAUAAUUUAUCGCUAAUUUAUCACAACCCUUGAGGGUGUUCUACUUACAUCUCUCUUCCAUCUUUUGAGUAUGUACCUAUCUCGCAUCGUCGUAAUGUUGUUGCGAAUCAAUACUGUGAUCGCAUGCCUGCAAAGGAUAUCACAAAACUCAAACAAGUGGCAACUACAACUCAAUUCGCAUGACUCCCUCCGAAAUGACCCGUAAAAAGUUUUUGUUUUUCCUAUGCUCCUGAUAUACGACAUAUUCUCGCACAUCGUAGGUCGUCGAAAAAUAAUCAAUGGUAUUUUUAAAUAAGAUGUCACAAUAUACAUUUCCAGUUAACUCUUGUUGAAAUUCUUUAAACUUCAUAAUGGUAUAGACCAUUUGAAAUUGCUUUUCCAUCUCAAAAUAUGUUGCACAAAGCACCAUUUGGGAAAAGGACUUGAAAUCGACUUGGAACUCCUUUUCAACCUUACUUCUUAGUGCUCAAACAUAUUGUUCUACGAAUUGCUUCAACGAGGUUUUUGAAUGCACUUACCUAUAAAAAAAUGCAUUUAUACUCUCCAAACGUUGGGUUGUUGACAUCCCUGCCCAAAAUGUGGUCUUCAAAUAACAUGGAACCCAACGAUCCUUAUUCUCGUACAAUAUCGAUAACCAAUUACUAUCAUAUAAAUCAUAUGUGGCGAGCAUCGUUCUCCAACCUUGUUUGAAUUCUUCAACAAUAUCUGAAUCAUAUACCAAUCUAUGUAUAGCAGCGAAAAUCGAGCUUUUUUGAAUGUGGUAGCCAAAUUUUUCUGGCAAUUUUUUUAUAAUGUGCCACAAACACCAUUUGUACUUCGUUGUAGGCAAAACAAUCUCAAUGGCAUUUUGCAUUGCCUAGUCUUGAUCAGUAAUGAUUCCACUAGGAGCUUCACCAUAAUGCACUCAAGUCAUGUUCUGAAUAACCACACAAAAGUCCCUGUGUCCUCAUUUAAUAACAACCCACAGCCGAACAGUGUACUUUGUCCAUGAUGAUUUACCCCAACAAAUGAGGUGAAGGGCAUGUCGUACUUGUUUGUGAGGUACGCAGUAUCGAAAGUGACAACAUCACCUAAUUCUUUGUAAACUUGCCUACAUCUAUUAUCUACCCAGAAAACAUUCUUUAGUCUUGACUCAUCAUCUAAAUCCAUACUAAAGAAAAAUAUCGAGCACCAGUAUGCCUGUAAUGCGAUGGCAUCUCCUUCUCCAAGAUGUAAUCGUCUCACUUCUUCAACAUAAUUCCGACAAUCCCUUUCCACAAAAGUCAUAUUCUCAUAUCCACCGGCUUCCACAACUGCAAAAUUGUAACUCUUUUGUAAGGAGAUUCCUGCCAUAUCAUUCAUUUCGAGUUUUCGCUUCACACUCACACUCAAACUUCAGUUGCAUCAGUACAAUCUAAACUUCGUGGGACUUGUGUUAUGAUUAUGCUCAAGGUAUACUUUGUUAAUUCUCCGAAUUCCAAGAUUAUCUAACGAUGCAAAUAUUCUUACUUUAUAGUCUGUUUGACAUUUUGGUUGCGGCUUCAUGGAACUGCCUGUAGCAUAAUUUCUUCAACCUUCACGACUACACGUGAACAUCACAUAUCUCAUAACUCCAUCAUCACCCUUUUUUGAAUUCCUUCUUCGAACUGGAAAGCCUACAACGUAAGCAUAUCUUUUGUAGAACUCCAACAUUUCUUUCUCGUCAUUAAACAUCAUGCCCACUUCAGGUGGAUUCGCAACAUCUCCUCCUAUGUUCUCAUUGCCCAAUGUGUUCAAAUUAUCCUGCAUAUUCUCGUCACAUAGUCGACCAACAACUCAUGAUUAUCAUCUUCUAUUAUUUAUUUUCCUGAGUAGCGUAAAAAUUGAGAGAUGUAUAAGUUAGUAGUGCUCGUUAACACCAUAACCGUGUCUAUUUAUGUACAGAAAACAACAAAGAUAUAUGCAUGGAGAUAAUCAAAAUUACAAUUUCUAGUGCAGCCAAAUGAAUAUCAAAACAAAGCCAAUUCUGUUGAAUUUAAUUUUAAUCCCAAUAUUUGGAGCACCCUAAUUUUCCAACAUAGACUAUGCACAAAAAACAAUUAAAACAGAUCAUUCACAAAAGAAGUUAGAACCUUAAACAAAACUCAACAUACGGCAUGCAAAACUGAACGCAAGUUUAAGCUAACCCUCCUCCAUUGCAGCCUGGUCAAUUGCUUACCCACCCAAUAAACAAA